Molecule: ribosomal RNA, 288 nt
Filed under: Pseudomonas aeruginosa
Lineage: Bacteria; Pseudomonadati; Pseudomonadota; Gammaproteobacteria; Pseudomonadales; Pseudomonadaceae
Description: partial 23S ribosomal RNA
Rfam family: Bacterial large subunit ribosomal RNA
Source: RNAcentral
GAGAUUUGAGAGGGGCUGCUCCUAGUACGAGAGGACCGGAGUGGACGAACCUCUGGUGUUCCGGUUGUCACGCCAGUGGCAUUGCCGGGUAGCUAUGUUCGGAAAAGAUAACCGCUGAAAGCAUCUAAGCGGGAAACUUGCCUCAAGAUGAGAUCUCACUGGGAACUUGAUUCCCCUGAAGGGCCGUCGAAGACUACGACGUUGAUAGGCUGGGUGUGUAAGCGUUGUGAGGCGUUGAGCUAACCAGUACUAAUUGCCCGUGAGGCUUGACCAUAUAACACCCAAACA